This 253-nucleotide ribosomal RNA is filed under the name uncultured bacterium. RNAcentral's name for it is "partial 16S ribosomal RNA". It matches the Rfam family "Bacterial small subunit ribosomal RNA", at positions 524 to 776 of the family's 1533-position model. The record is from RNAcentral.
UACGGAGGGUGCAAGCGUUAUCCGGAUUCACUGGGUUUAAAGGGUGUGUAGGCGGGUAUUUAAGUCAGUGGUGAAAUCUCCGAGCUUAACUUGGAAACUGCCAUUGAUACUAUUUAUCUUGAAUUCUGUUGAGGUGGGCGGAAUAUGUUAUGUAGCGGUGAAAUGCAUAGAUAUGACAUAGAACACCGAUUGCGAAGGCAGCUCACUAAGCAGACAUUGACGCUGAGGCACGAAAGCGUGGGGAUCAAACAGG